Molecule: ribosomal RNA, 338 nt
Filed under: Trichomonas vaginalis G3
Lineage: Eukaryota; Parabasalia; Trichomonadida; Trichomonadidae
Description: 5.8S ribosomal RNA
Rfam family: Eukaryotic small subunit ribosomal RNA (bases 1-137)
Source: RNAcentral
GCCCGUCGCUCCUACCGAUUGGAUGACUCGGUGAAAUCACCGGAUGCUUACGAGCAGAAAGUGAUUAAAUCACGUUAUCUAGAGGAAGGAGAAGUCGUAACAAGGUAACGGUAGGUGAACCUGCCGUUGGAUCAGUUCUAGUUUUAAUAACUAACACCAACUUCUUUUAUUAAACAAAAACCAAUACAAAAUUAAAAACUAACUUCAUCAAAAACCAAGUCUCUAAGCAAUGGAUGUCUUGGCUCCUCACACGAUGAAGAACGUGGCAUAAUGUGUUAAGUAACCGGAGUUGCAAACAUCAUGACAGGUUAAUCUUUGAAUGCAAAUGCGCUAAACUC